RNAcentral lists this ribosomal RNA (252 nucleotides) under uncultured microorganism. RNAcentral describes it as "partial 16S ribosomal RNA". It matches the Rfam family "Bacterial small subunit ribosomal RNA", at positions 524 to 776 of the family's 1533-position model. The record is from RNAcentral.
UACGUAGGUCCCGAGCGUUGUCCGGAUUUAUUGGGCGUAAAGCGAGCGCAGGUGGUUUAAUAAGUCUGAUGUAAAAGGCAGUGGCUCAACCAUUGUGUGCAUUGGAAACUGUUAGACUUGAGUGCAGUAGAGGAGGGCGGAAUUCCCGGUGUAGCGGUGAAAUGCGUAGAUAUCGGGAGGAAGGCCGGUGGCGAAGGCGGCUCUCUGGACUGUAACUGACACUGAGGCUCGAAAGCGUGGGUAGCAAACAGG